This is a long non-coding RNA of Sebastes umbrosus (honeycomb rockfish), 1007 nucleotides long. RefSeq lists it as uncharacterized. The record is from RefSeq and is a predicted model, not a curated record. Lineage: Eukaryota; Metazoa; Chordata; Actinopteri; Perciformes; Sebastidae. The transcript is spliced from 3 exons.
GUAUAUAUGCCAGGUGGGAAAGCAGUGUGGUGGGUUAAAGAGAGGGGAUUAGGUUGGGUGUGUUACCGCAACCACUGGAAUCUGUGACACCUGUGAAACUUGUUUUGUUGUCCACCUGCGGAACUGUUUUUGUGGUCCACCUGCCUGCUACCUGUUGGUCUUUCACCACCUCAAACCCUUCCAGUCUCUCACCGAGGUAGCCUGAGAUGAUGGUGACGGGUAUCUGCUCUGCAGGAGGACCAGGCGGGGUGUCGAUGGGCACCAGCUCUGGGCAGUCAUCUUCCUCCUCCAUCACCAGGCCAUCCAUACCAGGAAUGAUGUGUUGUCACAAGCUGGAUCUGAUUAAUCAGUACGAAUACUGAAACGUGCGACGCUUUAAAAGGCUCCGUUUCAAAAUCCUGACUCGGCGACAAAUGGUUCCGCUUUGGUUCAUAGCAAGUCGGGACAGAAAGGCUGCCGGACCGGAAGAAGAUGACAAGUAUCAACCACAAGAGGGCGACAGAAACCAGUUUAUGGCAGAGAUGCUAUAAGGGGAAUGAUAUGGAAAUAAUGGAUAUUAUAGUAAUAUUAUUGUGUCAUAGUACAGGGAAAAAAGUAAUCUGUGUCAGUGAGCUCCUUUAAAUUCUUGGACAGCCUUUCCUGAUUAUAUUUUUAUUUAUUUAUUAUUUAUUUUAUUUUAUUUCAUUUAUUUCAUUUUGUUUUAUUUAUUUUAUUAUUUUAAAUAAUGUUUUAUUUUAUGACAUGUAUGUUUUAUUUUGCAGCCCUUGUGAAGCCCUUUGUAAAUUGAGUUUUAAAAAAUGCUCUAUAAGAUUAUUAUUAUUAUUAUUAUUAUUAUUAUUAUUAUUAUUACUACAACUUAAACUAUAAACCCAAUGUUUAUUACCACUGACCUGCAGUUAUCCCUUUUUAAAGGAACUUGAUAUAGUACAGGGCACAAAAAAGUAAAGUACAAAUAAUUACUCACUCGCAGACAAUAAUAAUGCAAUAAUAAAUUAUAUCAAAAUAUG